AGCGGAGGAAAAGAAACCAACCGGGAUUGCCUCAGUAACGGCGAGUGAAGCGGCAAGAGCUCAAAUUUGAAAUCUGGCCCCUCCGGGGUCCGAGUUGUAAUUUGCAGAGGAUGCUUCGGGUGCGGCCCCUGUCUAAGUGCCCUGGAACGGGCCGUCAGAGAGGGUGAGAAUCCCGUCUUGGGCAGGGUGCCCGUGCCCGUGUGAAGCUCCUUCGACGAGUCGAGUUGUUUGGGAAUGCAGCUCAAAAUGGGUGGUAAAUUUCAUCUAAAGCUAAAUACCGGCCGGAGACCGAUAGCGCACAAGUAGAGUGAUCGAAAGAUGAAAAGCACUUUGAAAAGAGAGUUAAACAGCACGUGAAAUUGUUGAAAGGGAAGCGCUUGCAACCAGACUCGGCCUCGGGGUUCAGCCAGCAUUCGUGCUGGUGUACUUCCCCGGGGCCGGGCCAGCGUCGGUUUGGGCGGCCGGUCAAAGGCCCCAGGAAUGUAUCGUCCUCCGGGACGUCUUAUAGCCUGGGGUGCAAUGCGGCCAGCCUGGACCGAGGAACGCGCUUCGGCACGGACGCUGGCGUAAUGGUCGCAAACGACCCGUCUUGAAACACGGACCAAGGAGUCUAACAUCUACGCGAGUGUUCGGGUGUCAAACCCGUACGCGCAGUGAAAGCGAACGGAGGUGGGAGCCCCCCCGGGGCGCACCAUCGACCGAUCCUGAUGUCUUCGGAUGGAUUUGAGUACGAGCGUAGCUGUGGGGACCCGAAAGAUGGUGAACUAUGCCUGAAUAGGGUGAAGCCAGAGGAAACUCUGGUGGAGGCUCGCAGCGGUUCUGACGUGCAAAUCGAUCGUCAAAUUUGGGUAUAGGGGCGAAAGACUAAUCGAACCAUC
This 878-nucleotide ribosomal RNA is filed under the name Aspergillus protuberus. RNAcentral describes it as "eukaryotic LSU rRNA". It matches the Rfam family "Eukaryotic large subunit ribosomal RNA", at positions 49 to 944 of the family's 3401-position model. The record is from RNAcentral. Lineage: Eukaryota; Fungi; Ascomycota; Eurotiomycetes; Eurotiales; Aspergillaceae.